Long non-coding RNA from Hippopotamus amphibius kiboko, 1006 nucleotides. RefSeq lists it as uncharacterized. The record is from RefSeq and is a predicted model, not a curated record. Lineage: Eukaryota; Metazoa; Chordata; Mammalia; Artiodactyla; Hippopotamidae. The transcript is spliced from 3 exons.
GGGCGCCCGCGGGGGUCGCACUGCAGUCGCUGGAUCCUCCCGGCGCCUCCCUCGCCCGCCGCCCCGGCUGCGCCCUGGACUUGGCCGCGCAGGUGACCGGGGGGGUGGGGAUCAGCGCGUUUUCGGGAAGCCGCAGCCUCCCAGGUGUUUCCUACGCCCGGCACCCCAGAUCUACCGGGCCCGGCGCCCUCCAAGGUCAGCUGCCUGUCCCUUGCCCUGUGGGAAGCAGAACAUGCCCUGCUACUCCUGUAAACCAGUGAGGAAGCUGUGACUCGGCCUGGCCAGGGUCUUGCCCUGUGGCUGCUGGCUAAGCUGAGGGCCAGGACCAGGCCUCUGCUCUUGUACUGGCGUGACGACAGACAAGGCCAUCCUUGUGCUUUGCAGGACGAGGUGUGACUUGACCCUCAGCAUUCAAGACUGUCACGUUGGCCCUAAAUCAAGUGACAAGAGUCGAGGAGAGACACAGGGAGAAGAGCAGAAAGCCAGGAGAAGAUAGAGGCAGUUGGAGUUAUGUGGCCUCAAGCCAAAGAGGCUGGAAGAGGCAGGAAGGAUCCUCUCCCAGAGCCUCCUGGGGGAGCAUGGCCCUGCUGACACCUUGGUUUUGGACUGCUGGACUCCAGAACUGUGAGAGAAUUAAUGUCAGUUUCUUCAAGCCACCAAGUGUGUGGUGAUUUGUUACAGCAGCCACAGGAAAUGAAUACAGUCCUUCGGUGAGACUGGACACUGAAAGGAGAAGAGGAGGCACCAGGGGUGAAGUCAAGAUGUGGGACGCUCUCUAAGAAAGUGAGGGGUCUUAGCAGGAGUAAGAAAGUUUAGCAUAAAUUGAAAACAUAGGGUAAAGAGUAAAAUGUUGAAUUAGGCAGUGACUUGGAUCUUUGACGGUCUCUACAAGAAAAUGAGAGAAAGGAGUUUAUGAAACUGCUUUCUUGAAUGCUGGCGCCAGCGGAAGCAACGUGCGUUUAUGGUGGCAAUUAAAUGUUGGGAUCUUAAGUGCAAUCUUGGGGGU